GCAGCAGCCGCGGGAAUACAGAGGGUGCGAGCGUUAAUCGGAUUUACUGGGCGUAAAGCGUGCGUAGGCGGCUAAUUGAGUCGGAUGUGAAAUCCCCGAGCUUAACUUGGGAAUUGCAUUCGAUACUGGUUAGCUAGAGUGUGGGAGAGGAUGGUAGAAUUACAGGUGUAGCGGUGAAAUGCGUAGAGAUCUGGAGGAAUACCGAUGGCGAAGGCAGCCAUCUGGCCUAACACUGACGCUGAGGUACGAAAGCAUGGGGAGCAAACAGGAUUAGAGACCCCGGUAGUCCCUGUCUCUUAUAC
RNAcentral lists this ribosomal RNA (302 nucleotides) under uncultured bacterium. Its description in RNAcentral is "partial 16S ribosomal RNA". It matches the Rfam family "Bacterial small subunit ribosomal RNA", at positions 508 to 807 of the family's 1533-position model. The record is from RNAcentral.